CGGCAGCGCUCGCGGGCGGAUGCGUCGCGCUGUGGCGGGCCGAGUGUGGCGACGCAGCUGCUGCUGGUGCUGCCGCCGCCGCCGCCGCCGCCUGCCUGCGUAGCGACGUGUGUGACGCAGCCGCUGUCGAGAACUGCCGCUGGCCGGGACUGAUAACCGUACGAAGUCUCAGCUGUGCUCACAAACGCUGGCUGCUCCGAUAUAUUGACUCCAACGUGCUUUAGUGAGAGAAGGGCUCCGAUUAUAAAAAAUAAGGCGGGGAACGACUGGUCAGUCGGCGGGCGGAAGCUGCGUCCUUGGGCCCGAGAGCCGGCAGACGCGGUGCGGGCGGCCGGCUGCAUUCCUCGGCUGGCGGCGCGGCGCCGCAACUGGGCCAAGGCCGGCCCACAUCUGCGGGUUCAUUGCUACCGACGCCGCCGCCGCCGCCGCCGCCGCCGUCGCAACGGGAACUCGGCCGCC
This is a long non-coding RNA of Schistocerca nitens (vagrant locust), 459 nucleotides long. RefSeq lists it as uncharacterized. Lineage: Eukaryota; Metazoa; Arthropoda; Insecta; Orthoptera; Acrididae. The transcript has 4 exons. The record is from RefSeq and is a predicted model, not a curated record.